CGUGCCGCACGGCCCGGCCCGGCCUGCGCUGCAGCAGGGCAGGGUCCAACCUGGCCCUGCCGGGCCACGCAGGCCCCCAGUUACCUGUCCAAAAGCCGGAAGCAAGAGAGUUUUUCCCGGGCUUUUUUAGUUUUAAAAUGUGAUUUCACAGCGGGGUGUUCAGCUUUCCUAAGUGUUAUAAAAGGGUGGAAAUAUUCAAAACUAGCCAGCUGAUUGGUUCUAUUGGGUCCGGAGGAAGCUGUUAGUAGUCCUCACAGAGAAUCACUUCAGUAGCUGAUGGAUUUCUCCUUAACUAAAAAUCAGACUAUGUUAAACCAGGACAAACAGGAAAAACAAACAGGUGCAAAGAUUCCACCAGAACAAGAAAGCAACAUUGAGAAUAAAAGUGAAGAUGGAAUUAGUGACUGAGAGCAAAGCACAAAUGCUUGUCACCAGUACAACACGUUGGCCUGAGUCUGAUGUAAUCUCAAAAAGCAAGUCUGGAAACUGAAGCAGAUGAAAACCUCUUGUUCGUUACAAAAAUAGAAAUUGUGGUUAAGUGCCUGUUUGAUUCAUGUAGCUUGCACAACAGCUUGCACAAUUUUUUUUGCUUGCAUAAUCGCGUGAUAAUCAUAAGAUUUUAAGUAAGUUUUAUAGAAGAAAAGGCAAAGCUUUUUACUAAAUAUGGAAUCAGGUUAAAGGACAUAACCGAGGAAGACUACCAAGACCUUCAUCAUCGACCACCAGGAGGCGAGAGAAGACCCCCUAGCAACAAUUAACGCAGGCGCAGAGUACUUCAAGAUGACACAGAAGUCCGGAAGCAUUAAGAACUUAAAAAGGGGGGUCCUUGGGGAUGAGGGUGCGGCAGUUGGUGGAGCGGAGACUCCCCUGCCGUCCAGCGCUGAAGCUUUUGCUUAUGCUGUAUGCCUUGAAUUAAUAAAUUCAAAUUGGAAAUUUUACUCCUUUUGAGUCCAUUCAUAACAAAUUGGUGCCGUGACUCGGAUACGGGAGUUGAAUUGGAUAAGUUGUUCCAGAGAGGGAGGCGCCCCACCUAACCUAUUUCGGUGGCCCCUCUGGACGACCUCCACCUCCCUAUCUGACGAACCUAAAACUAUACUCAUAAGCAAAAGGGAGACACCGGUGAACCCCUUAAUCCUCUGUGCACAGGGUCCGGACGAAGACGCAGGACGCAUGCAGCAGUCCGAACUGUUGAGAAAGGGUGGACUCAAGCUAGCCGGAUCAAAGGACCAGUAAAACCCCCGGACAACUGGAAGGUUUGCAGUGUCCCUGAAGAAACCACAAUUAAAUUAAAGCGAACUUCAUGAUUUGGACCAUAGCCUGGGUAGGGGACAAUCAAUAUCUUCAAGACCUCUUAACAAGAAACAGGCAAUCACCGGGAUAUUGUAAAAGAUUAGAGGACGAACUGAAAAAGCCUUACUUUAAGUCUUCUCGCCUCGAAUAUAAAGGACAAACUUGGGGAGGGGAGCCAGCUAGAUGUGAAGAAAUAAAGACUCAAAUGUAAUUAUUUAGACUGUAACUGUUACCCAUUUUUAAGCUUUUUUUGUAAGCUGUGUUUUGAACCGUGGUGGACUCAUUGUCGGAAAAGACGGGUUCCUAGGGGCAUUUGCAGCCCCUGUUAUACUAACAAAAGGAGACUAACUUCUACGAUCCUUAAUUAUAAAAUAGACUCGAGAGAAAUAAAGCUUGGGUCAGAUCAGUGGUGGGAGAUCUUCUCAAAGGGUAUAAACCCCGAGCGGUUCUGUUAUCACGCAAACGAACCAGCCCCCUUCAUCCUAGACAUUCUCAAAGUGGUGUGCAGAAGAAGUAUUCCCACCAUACAGUGUGAUAUCCCACUAAUAAAAGCCAGAAACUAGGCUGCUAGUAAAAGGAAGUGGAAGCAAGAAUACCAAAACUGGGCUGCUAGCCGAGAGAAAAGGUGGGGAAGAGACAAUCAUAAUUAUCUGACUCCUGAAGAAUACCCCUGCUGCCGAGAAGAUGGUCACCCUCGAGGCUCGCAGCAACCGAGUCGUCGAGCGAGGCAGAGGGGUAAUAGACCGUGGAGACAAUCGGAAGUCUCGACCCCUCCGUGGGAAGUUCAGGAGAUGCUGGCAGUCCUACCGCAAGAUUGGUAAGCCACCACUAAGGGAAGGGAAACGGGAAAAAGAAAAAACAACAAAUGAGUCCAUUCCAACCAUGUAGACCACCCGGUUUGGACAAAGCUAAUACUGAUGUGUAUAGUGAUUAGGAUAUCCUGUGCUCAGACCCAUAAACCCUUUAAGUGGUCCCUAAUUAGAUAGAAAGAUCAAAAAGUUUUAAAAACAAAAAUUACUUCAAAAAAACCUAGCUUUUUGCUUACAUUGUGCGAGACUAAGUCAAUACGCAUUAGCUAGGUUUGACGAACAAGAGGAUAAAAGAGAAAGGGGGGAUUGAAGCAGAUGAAAACCUCUUGUUCGUUACAAAAAUAGAAAUUGUGGUUAAGUGCCUGUUUGAUUCAUGUAGCUUGCACAACAGCUUGCACAAUUUUUUUUGCUUGCAUAAUCGCGUGAUAAUCAUAAGAUUUUAAGUAAGUUUUAUAGAAGAAAAGGCAAAGCUUUUUACUAAAUAUGGAAUCAGGUUAAAGGACAUAACCGAGGAAGACUACCAAGACCUUCAUCAUCGACCACCAGGAGGCGAGAGAAGACCCCCUAGCAACAAUUAACGCAGGCGCAGAGUACUUCAAGAUGACACAGAAGUCCGGAAGCAUUAAGAACUUAAAAAGGGGGGUCCUUGGGGAUGAGGGUGCGGCAGUUGGUGGAGCGGAGACUCCCUUGCCGUCCAGCGCUGAAGCUUUUGCUUAUGCUGUAUGCCUUGAAUUAAUAAAUUCAAAUUGGAAAUUUUA
This is a long non-coding RNA of Haemorhous mexicanus (house finch), 2857 nucleotides long. RefSeq lists it as uncharacterized. NCBI's taxonomy places the organism in Eukaryota, Metazoa, Chordata, Aves, Passeriformes, Fringillidae. The transcript has 2 exons. The record is from RefSeq and is a predicted model, not a curated record.